CGCGUCCUCUCUCUCUUUCCCCGAACACUCUCUUCCUCUCACACUCCCUCUGCCCUCACCGGAAAGCACCAUUUCCGGCCACCAUCUCACCACACCGCCUCCACCAAUCGAUGCAGCGCCCAAAACUGACCCUAACCCGAGGCUCGCCGUCGACAUGCACCGCCUCCGGCCUCCACCCGCGACCACCCAAUCUGCGACAUUGCUGCCUCACCUAAUCCUCUGAUUUCCAGCCAUCAAUCCUGACUAUCGCUACCAAAAAAUGAAGCACCAAGCCCUAAGGAGACCAUGCCUUAAGUCUUGAAGCAAGAAAACCACCGUACGAGCUCGCCGGAACUCGUAGCUAGCUCUGCAUGCCUUCGUUCUCCAACCUCCAGUCCAAAUCGAGCUAAACUACCUCCAUAGGUGUAAUCAGCGCCUCACUACCCACCUGUUCCCGAGACGCCGACCUCCGAUUCCGACUAGGGCCACCGUACGCGCUACACGCGCCGCCGCUGGCGCGUAGACCGCCAUAGCUCCGCCGUGUAUACCGCUGACUUAAUCCCUUGUUCUGGUAAUAAUGGAAUUCAGAUCGGAAAGUGAAGCUUCUGGUCUUGGUUUUGAUUUGAGUUCUUGUUGGGAUGAUGAAGAAUCCAGAAGGACUGCAAGGAGCCGUAUGUUAUGGAGUGGUUGUGGUUUCGGCAGAACUGAUAUAGGAUGGAGACUUGAGGUUUGAGGGAUCUGCAUUUUUGAAGGUUUUGGAGAAGAGAAGUGUUGGGUCUGUCUCCAUUGAAAAUGGAUUAAGGUGUUCCAAAACGGUUGUCGAUUGGGGGAAUGCAGCUACUACGAAUUGAUUUCUAUUUUGGAAAAGAAGAAGUGUUUUUGUUAAAGGACUCGAGUGUGUGCACUUGGAUUUGGACACAUGAUCGAAAGUCGGGAACGAACCCGAAUGUGGACGAGCACUCCAAUUCCAGGUAGGGUGAGCUGUCCCUUCCUUGUUAGAGGCUUUUCAGUAUAUGUGGAAUUCUAUACUAUGAUAGUAUGUUGCCUGCAAGAACGUUUUUGGUUGUUCAUUAGUCGAUGCCUCGUGAUACAUGUGUUUUCAGAACUGAUAAUUGCAAAUUGUGAAAACCGAGGCUAGACUUGCAUGUUGAGAUACUGUACCCUUGUAUGUGUGUACUUGUGACCUGAAAGUGAAUGGGACCUAGACGCGUAGAUUCCUAGGGAUCCCACGGUGUCGAUAACCGUGAACCUCCGG
Long non-coding RNA from Rosa rugosa (rugosa rose), 1234 nucleotides. RefSeq lists it as uncharacterized. The transcript is spliced from 5 exons. The record is from RefSeq and is a predicted model, not a curated record. NCBI's taxonomy places the organism in Eukaryota, Viridiplantae, Streptophyta, Magnoliopsida, Rosales, Rosaceae.